AAGGUUUAUUUCACCUUAUGUUUGUUUAUUAUAGAAAAUGUUUUAAAAGAGCUUAAAUUAUGAUCUUAGACUUUAACAUAGAGAGGACUAAUUGAGAUUAAACAAUGAAUGGAUUUGAUUUAGUUAAGUGUUGACCAGAUAAAAUAAGUGCCAGUAAUCACGGUUAUACUUAUUGGUAUUUAAAAAAGAAUAGUAGAGUUCAAAAUCUCUUUAGGGAUAUUAGGUAAAAAGAAAUCUUUAAGGGAAGAAAUAAAAUUUCAAAGUGGAUUAGACACCCAUGUAGGAAGAUAAAUUAAAAUAUAUUAAUAGUGGAAAUAUAAAUAAUUAGACGGUUUGACCAUACACAGAGGUGCUUGUUCUGUAAUAUGACACUCCGCAGUAAAGUGCUACUUUUUAAUAAAGUGUAUGUCCGUACUGUGUGAAAUGAUUUCCACACUGGUCAGGUCCCCAUGCUAUUAGAGUAGUUAGAGUGAGCAGCAAUAAGAUUUUUGUUUCUAGUUUGAGACACCUAGAAACUAAGAGGAUUUGUUAGUAAAACAAAGUUAAUAACUUUUUUUGAAUUGGAAUGGUCGGAGUACUCACCGCCCGCCAAUAAGAUUGUAAAUUCUUAUAAAGCGUAACAAGGUAAGUUUUCUAGAAAGAGAACUUGGUUAAAGAG
RNAcentral lists this ribosomal RNA (658 nucleotides) under Botrylloides violaceus. RNAcentral's name for it is "small ribosomal RNA". Lineage: Eukaryota; Metazoa; Chordata; Ascidiacea; Stolidobranchia; Styelidae. The record is from RNAcentral.